RNAcentral lists this ribosomal RNA (498 nucleotides) under uncultured bacterium. Its description in RNAcentral is "partial 16S ribosomal RNA". It matches the Rfam family "Bacterial small subunit ribosomal RNA", at positions 28 to 507 of the family's 1533-position model. The record is from RNAcentral.
GACGAACGCUGGCGGCGUGCCUAAUACAUGCAAGUCGAACGAGAGCGACCGGUGCUUGCACUGGUCAAUCUAGUGGCGAACGGGUGAGUAACACGUGGGUAACCUGCCCAUCAGAGGGGGAUAACAUCCGGAAACGGAUUCUAAAACCGCAUAGGUCUUCGAUCCGCAUGGCUUGAAGAGGAAAAGAGGCGCAAGCUUUUGCUGAUGGAUGUACCCGCGGUGCAUUAGCUAGUUGGUGAGGUAACGGCUCACCAAGGCCGUGAUGCAUAGCCGACCUGAGAGGGUGAUCGGCCACAUUGGGACUGAGACACGGCCCAAACUCCUACGGGAGGCAGCAGUAGGGAAUCUUCCGCAAUGGACGGAAGUCUGACGGAGCAACGCCGCGUGAGUGAAGAAGGUUUUCGGAUCGUAAAACUCUGUUGUUAGAGAAGAACAAGUGCUAGAGUAACUGUUAGCGCCUUGACGGUAUCUAACCAGAAAGCCACGGCUAACUACGUG